Molecule: ribosomal RNA, 2645 nt
Filed under: Escherichia coli
Lineage: Bacteria; Pseudomonadati; Pseudomonadota; Gammaproteobacteria; Enterobacterales; Enterobacteriaceae
Also listed under: 5 other names
Description: partial 23S ribosomal RNA
Rfam family: Bacterial large subunit ribosomal RNA
Source: RNAcentral
GGAGCAGCCCAGAGCCUGAAUCAGUGUGUGUGUUAGUGGAAGCGUCUGGAAAGGCGUGCGAUACAGGGUGACAGCCCCGUACACAAAAAUGCACAUACUGUGAGCUCGAUGAGUAGGGCGGGACACGUGGUAUCCUGUCUGAAUAUGGGGGGACCAUCCUCCAAGGCUAAAUACUCCUGACUGACCGAUAGUGAACCAGUACCGUGAGGGAAAGGCGAAAAGAACCCCGGCGAGGGGAGUGAAAAAGAACCUGAAACCGUGUACGUACAAGCAGUGGGAGCACGCUUAGGCGUGUGACUGCGUACCUUUUGUAUAAUGGGUCAGCGACUUAUAUUCUGUAGCAAGGUUAACCGAAUAGGGGAGCCGAAGGGAAACCGAGUCUUAACUGGGCGUUAAGUUGCAGGGUAUAGACCCGAAACCCGGUGAUCUAGCCAUGGGCAGGUUGAAGGUUGGGUAACACUAACUGGAGGACCGAACCGACUAAUGUUGAAAAAUUAGCGGAUGACUUGUGGCUGGGGGUGAAAGGCCAAUCAAACCGGGAGAUAGCUGGUUCUCCCCGAAAGCUAUUUAGGUAGCGCCUCGUGAAUUCAUCUCCGGGGGUAGAGCACUGUUUCGGCAAGGGGGUCAUCCCGACUUACCAACCCGAUGCAAACUGCGAAUACCGGAGAAUGUUAUCACGGGAGACACACGGCGGGUGCUAACGUCCGUCGUGAAGAGGGAAACAACCCAGACCGCCAGCUAAGGUCCCAAAGUCAUGGUUAAGUGGGAAACGAUGUGGGAAGGCCCAGACAGCCAGGAUGUUGGCUUAGAAGCAGCCAUCAUUUAAAGAAAGCGUAAUAGCUCACUGGUCGAGUCGGCCUGCGCGGAAGAUGUAACGGGGCUAAACCAUGCACCGAAGCUGCGGCAGCGACGCUUAUGCGUUGUUGGGUAGGGGAGCGUUCUGUAAGCCUGUGAAGGUGUGCUGUGAGGUAUGCUGGAGGUAUCAGAAGUGCGAAUGCUGACAUAAGUAACGAUAAAGCGGGUGAAAAGCCCGCUCGCCGGAAGACCAAGGGUUCCUGUCCAACGUUAAUCGGGGCAGGGUGAGUCGACCCCUAAGGCGAGGCCGAAAGGCGUAGUCGAUGGGAAACAGGUUAAUAUUCCUGUACUUGGUGUUACUGCGAAGGGGGGACGGAGAAGGCUAUGUUGGCCGGGCGACGGUUGUCCCGGUUUAAGCGUGUAGGCUGGUUUUCCAGGCAAAUCCGGAAAAUCAAGGCCGAGGCGUGAUGACGAGGCACUACGGUGCUGAAGCAACAAAUGCCCUGCUUCCAGGAAAAGCCUCUAAGCAUCAGGUAACAUCAAAUCGUACCCCAAACCGACACAGGUGGUCAGGUAGAGAAUACCAAGGCGCUUGAGAGAACUCGGGUGAAGGAACUAGGCAAAAUGGUGCCGUAACUUCGGGAGAAGGCACGCUGAUACGUAGGUGAAGCGACUUGCUCGUGGAGCUGAAAUCAGUCGAAGAUACCAGCUGGCUGCAACUGUUUAUUAAAAACACAGCACUGUGCAAACACGAAAGUGGACGUAUACGGUGUGACGCCUGCCCGGUGCCGGAAGGUUAAUUGAUGGGGUUAGCGCAAGCGAAGCUCUUGAUCGAAGCCCCGGUAAACGGCGGCCGUAACUAUAACGGUCCUAAGGUAGCGAAAUUCCUUGUCGGGUAAGUUCCGACCUGCACGAAUGGCGUAAUGAUGGCCAGGCUGUCUCCACCCGAGACUCAGUGAAAUUGAACUCGCUGUGAAGAUGCAGUGUACCCGCGGCAAGACGGAAAGACCCCGUGAACCUUUACUAUAGCUUGACACUGAACAUUGAGCCUUGAUGUGUAGGAUAGGUGGGAGGCUUUGAAGUGUGGACGCCAGUCUGCAUGGAGCCGACCUUGAAAUACCACCCUUUAAUGUUUGAUGUUCUAACGUGGACCCGUGAUCCGGGUUGCGGACAGUGUCUGGUGGGUAGUUUGACUGGGGCGGUCUCCUCCUAAAGAGUAACGGAGGAGCACGAAGGUUGGCUAAUCCUGGUCGGACAUCAGGAGGUUAGUGCAAUGGCAUAAGCCAGCUUGACUGCGAGCGUGACGGCGCGAGCAGGUGCGAAAGCAGGUCAUAGUGAUCCGGUGGUUCUGAAUGGAAGGGCCAUCGCUCAACGGAUAAAAGGUACUCCGGGGAUAACAGGCUGAUACCGCCCAAGAGUUCAUAUCGACGGCGGUGUUUGGCACCUCGAUGUCGGCUCAUCACAUCCUGGGGCUGAAGUAGGUCCCAAGGGUAUGGCUGUUCGCCAUUUAAAGUGGUACGCGAGCUGGGUUUAGAACGUCGUGAGACAGUUCGGUCCCUAUCUGCCGUGGGCGCUGGAGAACUGAGGGGGGCUGCUCCUAGUACGAGAGGACCGGAGUGGACGCAUCACUGGUGUUCGGGUUGUCAUGCCAAUGGCACUGCCCGGUAGCUAAAUGCGGAAGAGAUAAGUGCUGAAAGCAUCUAAGCACGAAACUUGCCCCGAGAUGAGUUCUCCCUGACCCUUUAAGGGUCCUGAAGGAACGUUGAAGACGACGACGUUGAUAGGCCGGGUGUGUAAGCGCAGCGAUGCGUUGAGCUAACCGGUACUAAUGAACCGUGAGGCUUAACCUU